CUGCUGCCUCCCGUAGGAGUCUGGGCCGUGUCUCAGUCCCAAUGUGGCCGUUCAACCUCUCAGUCCGGCUACUGAUCGUCGCUUUGGUGGGCCGUUACCCCGCCAACUGGCUAAUCAGACGCGAGCUCAUCUUUGGACGAUAAAUCUUUGGCAGCAAAAUCAUGCGGUCCUGCUGCAUUAUGCGGUAUUAGCAGUCGUUUCCGGCUGUUAUCCCCCAUCCAAAGGCAGAUUGCUCACGUCG
RNAcentral lists this ribosomal RNA (241 nucleotides) under uncultured bacterium. Its description in RNAcentral is "partial 16S ribosomal RNA". The record is from RNAcentral.